UACGUAGGAGGCGAGCGUUGUCCGGAGUACUGGGCGUAAAGCGCACGCAGGCGGUCCUAUUAGUCUGGGGUGACAGUUCCCGGCUUAACCGGAAAAGGACUCUGGAAACUGUAGGACUUGAGGGCUUCAGAGGGAUGUGGAAUUCCAGGUGGAGUGGUGAAAUGCGUAGAGAUCUGGAGGAACACCGAUGGCGAAGGCAGCCUUCUGGGCCAACACUGACGCUCAUGCACGAAAGCGUGGGGAGCAAACAGG
Molecule: ribosomal RNA, 252 nt
Filed under: uncultured bacterium
Lineage: Bacteria
Description: partial 16S ribosomal RNA
Rfam family: Bacterial small subunit ribosomal RNA
Source: RNAcentral